Long non-coding RNA from Dermochelys coriacea (leatherback sea turtle), 2415 nucleotides. RefSeq lists it as uncharacterized. The record is from RefSeq and is a predicted model, not a curated record. The transcript has 3 exons. Lineage: Eukaryota; Metazoa; Chordata; Testudines; Dermochelyidae.
AGAAUUACACAGAGACCUGAGCCAUGGAGCCGGAUGCUGAUGGUGGAAGCUAGUCAAAGGGGACAGAGGAGACAGAAGCAGGGCGGAGAGUGAAACACCUGGGAAUCCUCACAGCAUCUCACAUGCACCGCCCAGCAUGGUUCUCCGAAGGAUCCUUGGGAAAACACAGGGGACUCCCAGGAAAUGGGGGUCUCUUACUGCUAGGGUAACAGGAGUGAGGGAAGCCUGAGACGGUGGAUGGACUCUAGAUGCCCUGGGGAUAGAGAGAUUAGAUAGAACGGGGAUGGCUGAAUGGAAAUACACAAAAUCAUGUUCCAAUUCCUAUUUGAUGUCCCUCCCAACCUCUGGGUGUGAAUUGCCCUGCGGUGCCCAGAGAUGCCUGACCCCAGAGGCACGUCCAUCACUCUGAGUUAGUGAAGGCAAAUAACAGUGACUGCUGAUUUCCCUCGUGCCUUCCCCAUGGGGCGGGGAUUGGUACGCUAACCGCCCCAUCUCUGUUGCUCCCUUCCAGGGAGUGCCUGGCUGCAGUUCCCUACGGGCCCGAAGGGGGCGGCAAAGUCCAUAUUAACCCUUUACGCCCUGCAUGCGGUGUUGUUCGUGCUGUGGGCCGUGCUCCUCGCCGUGGCAAUUGCAAAGUAUGCAGAGAUGUCCAGGGAGCUGGAGCAGAUGCGGACUGAUCAAUCCAUGCUCAGAGCCAGUGAUCUUCUGAACAAGCACAGACACCACAGCCAAGUGUUACCGAAGAACAUUUCAAGUGUCAUCGCAGAAUGAGGCGGCGAGGUGAAACCGUAGCUGUGUAUGUGGAAGAGCAAAAUAUAUUAGUUGACUAGCGCUCGGCUGGAUAUGUCCUAUGUGCUGCAGGGCAGUUUAGUAAUACCACAAACCAAUGAGGGACUUCAAGGACGACUGCUGGCAGAAGGGGAUGUAACCUGUCCCAAAGCAACAGACAAUGGAAGCAGCAGUGAAAAAACCUACAAGCUUUUCACUUAAAAGGCAGGGACAUUCAAAGUGACUCAGGCACCUGAGAGGUGUUUCGACAUCAGUCUGUAACUUUAAAAGGGCAGCACCUCAAGCCCCGGAGGGCGGGGCCGGAUUUACACCUUAUGCGCCCCUAGGCACUGCAUCUUCAGCGCCCCCCUGCCUGCAGCUGGCCUUCGUGUGCACACAGUUUUAGAGGGGUCAGCGCCCCUAGACAUGUGCCAACUAUGCCUAUUUGGAAAUCCGGCCCUGCCGGAGGGUAGACCUCAAUGGUACGUCUACACAGUCUACUAAGCCGUGGCUCUGACUCAAGUUUAAGACCAACUUCCACACAGAAUUUAGUUUGACUCAGGCUUGCAGAGCCUGCUAGGGGGUGGGGUCAGAGCCGAAGUCCCACUGUCAUGCAAGUCAGAGCCCAAACGUUUUGUAGUGUGGAUGCAGCUUAGCUGCAUGUCACCCGACUUGGGUGUGGAGAGUCCGCCAACACUAUCUUACAAUCCCCAGGGACUGUGCUUCCCAGCCCUUCAAUUCCAAAACUUGCCACUUGCUUCCCAGGAACCUUAUGUAACACGGGGAUGCUGAUAAUGGCCUCCUUUGUAAAGGACAUUGAGACCUUCUGAGGAAAUGAGCUACAGAAGAGGUAGGUAGUAUUAGGGUGCAGGUCCAACACAGGCUGGUCUGGCCCCUCUCCUCAACAAGGGGUCAGCUGCUGCUCUGGAGGUGAAAGGCUCUUGUUAUCUCCUCAACCACCAGACCCCGUAAUGUCCUAGCGACGAUGCCCCUCUGGGUUCCGGACCAGGAUGUUGGUUAUUCUUUCCCCUGAGAAUCCACCCUUAAGAUUGGAGACUGGCCCACUUCUCACAGCUUUGGGAGAUGAGUUAAAGCUGCAGGACGCCAGUGUGGUGCUGAGGUGGGCCAGCUACUGCUUUCAUUUACCCGAGUGUGGGGCAGGAGUAACUCUACCGAAGUCAAUGGGGUUAUGCCUGAUUUUUCUGUGGAAUAUUCCAGCUGCUGGGGGUGGUGCUAACAAGGCUUCCUACCUCCAGGAAAGACAGAGCCUGCUCCCUUCCCUCACCUUGAGGAGCAGCAAUCAGCUGUUUGUAAUGAAGCAGCAGCUUCCUCUCCCAUGGGAAGACUGCAGUGUCUGAUGGUGGGCUGGAGCAGGGAGGUGUUUCAGACCUGCUCCCCUUUUCCUCCACGUUCCUCAUUGCUGUGUAAGUGGGGUUGGACUGAGCUCCCCUGUAAUGUGGAGUGAUGAGCUGGGGGAACAGUCUCCAGGAGCAGACUGUGUUUGCCUAAGCACCCUGCUCUGCCGAGGAACUCAGCGGAGGGAACUGCUUCGCCAAAGUGAUCCCUUUUGGCUGGUGUUGGGUUACAAAUCACUUUAGUAGGGAGUGAAGGGGAAUGGCAUGUUGUGACCCUGAUUGUGUAAGGGAA